CCUACGGGGGGCAGCAGUGGGGAAUAUUGCACAAUGGGGGAAACCCUGAUGCAGCGACGCCGCGUGAGUGAAGAAGUAAUUCGUUAUGUAAAGCUCUAUCAGCAGGGAAGAAAAUGACGGUACUUGAGUAAGAAGCCCCGGCUAACUACGUGCCAGCAGCCGCGGUAAUACGUAGGGGGCAAGCGUUAUCCGGAUUUACUGGGUGUAAAGGGAGCGUAGACGGCAGUGCAAGUCUGGAGUGAAAGGCGGGGGCUCAACCCCCGGACUGCUCUGGAAACUGUUCGGCUGGAGUGCAGGAGAGGUAAGUGGAAUUCCUGGUGUAGCGGUGAAAUGCGUAGAUAUUAGGAGGAACACCAGUGGCGAAGGCGGAUUACUGGACUGUAACUGACGUUGAGGCUCGAAAGCGUGGGGAGCAAACAGGAUUAGAUACCCUAGUAGUC
RNAcentral lists this ribosomal RNA (440 nucleotides) under uncultured bacterium. Its description in RNAcentral is "partial 16S ribosomal RNA". It matches the Rfam family "Bacterial small subunit ribosomal RNA", at positions 338 to 795 of the family's 1533-position model. The record is from RNAcentral.